RNAcentral lists this ribosomal RNA (504 nucleotides) under uncultured bacterium. Its description in RNAcentral is "partial 16S ribosomal RNA". It matches the Rfam family "Bacterial small subunit ribosomal RNA", at positions 30 to 523 of the family's 1533-position model. The record is from RNAcentral.
AUUGAACGCUGGCGGCAGGCCUAACACAUGCAAGUCGAACGGUAGCACAGAGAGCUUGCUCUCGGGUGACGAGUGGCGGACGGGUGAGUAACGUCUGGGAAACUGCCCGAUGGAGGGGGAUAACUACUGGAAACGGUAGCUAAUACCGCAUAACGUCGCAAGACCAAAGUGGGGGACCUUCGGGCCUCACACCAUCGGAUGUGCCCAGAUGGGAUCAGCUAGUAGGUGGGGUAAUGGCUCACCUAGGCGACGAUCCCUAGCUGGUCUGAGAGGAUGACCAGCCACACUGGAACUGAGACACGGUCCAGACUCCUACGGGAGGCAGCAGUGGGGAAUAUUGCACAAUGGGCGCAAGCCUGAUGCAGCCAUGCCGCGUGUAUGAAGAAGGCCUUCGGGUUGUAAAGUACUUUCAGCGGGGAGGAAGGCGGUGAAGUUAAUAGCUUCACCGAUUGACGUUACCCGCAGAAGAAGCACCGGCUAACUCUGUGCCAGCCGCCGCAGUAA